UCCUUUCCAGGUGAAGGGUGACCCGGCUGAAGAAACACUUAAAUUCUGGAAAUAGCAACUGAGUAUCAUGGCCAGCAGCCUUAAUGAAGAUCCAGAAGGAAGCAGAAUCACUUAUGUGAAAGGAGACCUUUUUGCAUGCCCCAAAACAGACUCUUUAGCCCACUGUAUUAGUGAGGAUUGUCGCAUGGGCGCUGGGAUAGCUGUUCUCUUCAAGAAGAAAUUUGGAGGGGUGCAAGAACUGUUAAAUCAGCAAAAGAAAUCUGGAGAAGUGGCUGUUCUGAAGAGAGAUGGGUGAUAUAUAUAUAUUACUUGAUUACAAAGAAAGGGGCUUCGCACAAGCCAACUUAUGAAAACUUGCGAAAGAGCUUAGAGGCCAUGAAGUCUCAUUGUCUGAAGAACGGAGUCACGGACCUCUCCAUGCCCAGGGUUGGAUGUGGUCUUGAUUGUCUGCAAGGGGAAAAUGUAUCUGGGAUGAUCGGGGAGGUAUUUGAGGCAAUAGACAUCAGAAUCGCCGUGUAUACACUCUGAACAGAUCAACAUUUUGGAUGUGUCCGUGUUCUCCUGUAUCAUACCUUCUGGGCCAUAGGACUGGGCAAACUGACCUUAUAAUAGGCAGAGGAAAGUUUCCUGUGAAAUAGUCUGUGUCACAGGACAGACUUGGGUUGCUAUAUUCCAGUAUUUGGACUAGGAUUCUGGAGAAAGGAAUGCUUUGGGUAUGUUGUGGUUUUUUUGCAGAAAGAUAAGGAGUAGGUAGCCUGAUAAUAGGCAGGGAAACCAGAUAUUUGGGCCUAUGAUGUCUGUUUUGCUUCAGUAUGCUACCUGAU
Molecule: non-coding RNA, 824 nt
Organism: Microcebus murinus (gray mouse lemur)
Lineage: Eukaryota; Metazoa; Chordata; Mammalia; Primates; Cheirogaleidae
Source: RefSeq, a predicted model, not a curated record